GACGAAGGGGGCUAGCGUUGUUCGGAAUUACUGGGCGUAAAGCGCGCGUAGGCGGUCUUUCAAGUCAGGAGUGAAAGCCCCGGGCUCAACCCGGGAAUAGCUCUUGAUACUGUUGGACUUGAGUCCGGGAGAGGAUAGUGGAAUUCCCAGUGUAGAGGUGAAAUUCGUAGAUAUUGGGAAGAACACCAGUGGCGAAGGCGGCUAUCUGGACCGGUACUGACGCUGAGGCGCGAAAGCCAGGGGAGCGAACGGG
Molecule: ribosomal RNA, 253 nt
Filed under: uncultured bacterium
Lineage: Bacteria
Description: partial 16S ribosomal RNA
Rfam family: Bacterial small subunit ribosomal RNA
Source: RNAcentral